AGUAGUUGAGCUGUUGAAGCUCCAGGACAACCAAAUUCCUUAAGCUAGUUGAAUUGUCAUGUGGCUCUACACUCAUUUGGAUUUCCUGGCUUAUCUGUUUUCCUCACCUGCCUGUUUUGAAUGCAGAUCCAUUGGAAAGCUUUUUUUUUUUUUUUAGAACACCCAACAAACCCCAUCCUGAUUCCAGCUGUGUGGCAACUACUGGAAAAGCAAUUAAAAGGAGUGGAAAAUUAAAUAUAUUAAAACCAAAGAGGAACUGAGAAACAGAAAUCCCAGUGGUCCACGGACAUAGGAUUUGCCUCUAGAAAGGAAGGAGUUUCUGCUACUCAGGCUCUGGGGACCUGAGAUGUGAAGUUUCUCCUCCAGAGAAGCUCGGGCAGGGGCGAGGUUGCUUUGCCACCCAUCAGAGCUCACAUUCACCCCAUCUCAGGACACCAGCUUCCAGUAGAAACAUGCUGUUGUGUUGCACACAAUGCACAUGUUUUAUUAAAUACUGCAAAACACAGUGUUAAUAUGUCCAGGCUUUAGGCUGGGUGGUUGCAGGUGUUGCUCCCCCGCUGGGUCAUUGCUCCAGAAGCUUUAAGAGCAUUCCCACCUCUGGGACCGGACUCUGACGUCAGGCUGGAGAGGGGCAAGGCCAUCAAGCUGUGAUACAGCAUUGAACCCUCUCCAGGGCUGCGAAGAGACGAAGAGCUCAGGCAUCUGGGAGCUGGAGGAGACCUGUUCCUAAUGGAAAGCACAUUACCAGCUGGGACAAUGCAGGGGAUAUUCAAGAAAGCCUCAAAAAUACUUCAGCAAACCCAAGCUCUCCUAUGGAAAAAUAUUCUUCUGGUGUGGAGGAGGAAGACAGAAAGUUUUCAGGAAUGGACCACAUCAGUGGUUUUUCUCUUAAUAAUACAAACAUCAGCAAGUAUGAUAUUCCACUACCCACGGCAAGAAAUCCCUUACAAGUUCCUGGGACGGUUGGAUGAUCCAGCCUUCAAUGCUACAGGGGUUAAACUUGCAUACACACCUGUAACAACCACCACCAGGCACAUAAUGAGCAAAGUGGCUUCGGAUUCUGCAAUGACAGGAAUAAUAAUAGAAGAGGUGGACAAUAAGAAAGAUCUGGAAACAAGAGCAGUUUUGGAGGAAGACAUUAUCGGUGUUGUUUUUAAGGAUGACUUCUCCUACCAUCUCAGAUUUCAAAGCUACCGUGUGGUGUCUCCAAGUGAUGCCUUUGAACACAUCGAUACCUGCUUCAAUUUUUCAUCAAUCUGCAACAUUCCCUUGUACUGGUAUGCAGGUUUCCUAUCGGUGCAGUCCAGCAUCGAUGCUGCGGUCAUAGAAAUGAAAACAAACCAUUCUGUGUGGCAAGAGAUGAAGUCAAUCAGUGGUGUUCGUCUGAAAUCGCCCUUGAUCAAACCCGUGUAUAAACUGGAUUAUUUUUGGUUCAUUAUUUAUAUUAUGCUGUGCUUCUCCCCAUACAUGUACUUUUUAUCAGUGAAAGUUAUAAGAGAGAAAAAGAAGCUGAAGGUGUUAAUGAGAGCAAUGGGUUUGCAAGAUAUUGCGUUCUGGUUAUCCUGGAGCUUGCUGUACACCAUUUACAUUUCAAUAACAGCAACUCUCCUGACACUGAUCACGAUUACAGGAGUCAUCCAUGACUACAGCUUUUUUGAAAUAUACUUCUUUUAUUUCUUUUAUGGCACAGCAUCUAUUCACUUCUGUUUCAUGCUCAGCUCAUUGUUAAAGCAGUCAAAUUUUGCCAGUUUUGUGGGCUUUGUCCUUCACGUCCUCUUUGGAUUGCUGGGCUUUUUGACAUUGUUUGAAGAACUACCAUCGUAUUUGGAAUGGAUUUUAAAUCUCUUCAGUCCUUUUGCCUUUACAGCUGGCAUCUCAAAGAUGUUAAAAUUGGACAAAUAUGGACCAGCCUUUACACCAGAAUUGUACCCUUUCUUUAACCUAUACCUCAUACUGAGCCUUGACAGUGUCUUGUAUUUGCUGUUGGCCAUCUACUUUGAUAAAGUUUUGCCUGGCAAGUAUGGAGCACCAUACCCACCUUUGUUCUUCCUGAGACCAUCGUACUGGUGCAAGCCCAGGAGUGGGUACAUGGGGGUACAAGCUGACAGCGAGAGCAGCAACGAUCCUGUCCUCAGCAAUAACAUUGAGCCGAUGCCUCCAGGCUUUGAUGGGAAGGAAGCAAUUAGACUAAACAACGUUAAAAAAACAUACAAGAAGAAGGACAAGAGAACAGAAGCUCUAAGGGGUUUGUCCUUAAGUAUAUAUGAAGGCCAGAUCACUGCGUUACUUGGUCACAGUGGAUCUGGAAAAACUGCUCUCUUAAAUGUGCUCAGUGGAUUUUCCAAGCCUUCAGCAGGUUCUGCAAUGAUAUACAACCACAAAGUUUCUGAAGUAUGGGAUAUGGAAGGAAUUCAGGCAAUGGUUGGGAUUUGCCCCCAGUUAAAUUUGCAUUUUGAAGCCUUAACAGUGAAGGAAAACCUGAGAACUUUUGCUCACAUCAAGGGGAUUCAGCAGAAAGAAUUAGAGCAAGAGGUGCAGAAGGUUCUCGCAAUGCUGGACCUCGCUGAUCUUCAGGACAUUCAUGCUGAUGCUCUGAGUGGAGGACAGAAAAGAAAAUUGUCUCUUGGAAUUGCAAUUUUAGGGAAUCCCCAGGUGCUGCUUCUAGAUGAACCAACGGCUGGGUUGGAUCCCUGCUCCAGGCAUCACGUGUGGAACCUUCUGAAGGAGCGCCAGGCUGGACGUGUGACGCUCUUCACGACCCAGUCCAUGGAGGAAGCUGAUGCUCAUGCUGAUCGGAAAGCUUUCCUCUCAAAUGGGAGAUUACAGUGUGUGGGCUCAUCUCUGUACUUGAAGAGAAAAUGGGGAAUUGGCUAUCACUUGAGGAUGCACAUAGAUGAGUUGUGUGACCCUGAGCUUAUAUCAUCCCUGGUCAGACAGUACAUCCCCAGUGCUGUGCUCAAAGGACAGAAGCAGGGAGAGCUGCGUUAUAUGCUACCUUUGGAAAACACUAAUAGCUUCUCAGAUCUCUUCAGCCAUCUGGAGAGCAGCCUUUCACAGGGUGUUGUUAACUAUGAGGUUAGCAGGACAACCCUGGAAGAGGUUUUCUUGAAGCUGGAGGGUGAGGAAGCCAUUGAUCAAGAAGAGGACGGAGACCUGGAGGAGAGGGACCAAAGCCUCCUGGUGUUUUCCAAACAGAGAAGCACAGCAGUGAGCGAGAUGGAGCUCUGGAGGCAGCAAGUGUGUGCUGUGAUGAGAGUUCGCUUCUUAAAGCUAAAGCAUGAAGGAAAGUUUCUCAGGUCCAUAUUGCUGUUCUUUGGAAUAUUCAUCCUUCCAAUGAUGAUGAUUUUCAUUGGAUUUCAACUGUGGGACAGCUCCAGUAACUGGGAAAUCACAGCCAGCUUGUAUUUCCUUCCCACUGAAGAGAAAAUGCAAAAUAAAUCAUCAAACCUUCUCAUCAUCAAUGACACAGGGUCAGAAAUUGAGGAUUUCCUUGCUGCUUUGAAGACUCAAAACAUAACCCCAGAAAUAACUCUGGAGAAAAACAUCACAAGCAUUCCACUAUAUAACGGAGCUAUAAAAAUAUCCCUGGAAGGCAAGAGCUACCGAUUCACGGUCAUGUGCAGUGCAGAACCCAUCAACUGCUUCCCUGUGCUGGUGAAUAUCCUCAGCAACACCUUUCUAAGGCUCUUCAAUUCCACUGCGCGCAUCCGUGUCUGGAGUGAGCCCUUUUACAGUAUACAAAACCCAGAAGUAAAGAGUGAUAUCUUUUUCAUCUGCCUCAGCUACAUGCUGAUUUUGGCUGCUGGUUUGCCUCCUCAGUUUGCAAUGAGGAGCAUGGAGGAUUACAAGCUCCAGGCUCGUGCCCAGCUGCGGCUCGCAGGGCUCUUCCCCUCAGCAUACUGGUGUGGGCAGGCACUGGUGGAUGUCCCACUCUUCUGGACCCUGAUGUGCCUCAUGUUUGGGGUCCUGGUGCUCUUCAAUCGCAUCUGCCCCUUGCAGGCCAACACUGUCCUGCCCCUGAUCAUUUGCACCAUUGGUUAUGGAGUAUCUCUCGUCCUCCUCGUCUAUUUAAUUGCCUUUAAAUUUCGCACAGGACGAAGCAAUCGUUACAUUUGGUCUUUCAUCUUCAUUCUGGUGAAUUCUACGCUCUAUAUGCUCAGUGACCUACACGAAGCACUUUAUUUCACCUUCUCUAUUUUGAUUCCUGUGUUUCCACCUCUGGGCUGGUUGAUCUUCAGUACACCAAGUUACUCAUGGUUUGACAAUAUCACUCUUCUUGAGACGUGGAAUCACAUUUUCGUAGCUGCCUUUGCACCUUUCAUCCAUUGUGUGAUUUUUGCUUUUCUCCUGCGCUGUUUGGAGAUGAGAUCUGGAGAAGCAGUUACGAGACUUGAUCCCAUUUUCAGGAUCCAGAAGAGGAGAUUGGUUGCCCGCCAGAACAGGGAGCACCCUGUGGAGGAGCCCCCAGAAGUCCAUGCAGAGAGGGAGAGAGUGAGGAAUGUCAUGGCCUCACUGCAGCAGGAGGAGGAGUCAACGAUCGUUGUCAACAGUUUGCGCAAGGAAUAUGAAGACAAGAAAGCCAGUUCCAUCUUUAAGAAAAGGAAGAAAGUUGCUGUCAAAAACCUCUCUUUUACAGUUAAAAAAGGAGAAGUAUUAGGUCUGUUAGGACCCAAUGGAGCUGGAAAAAGCACCACUAUAAACAUGAUUUCUGGAGAUAUAACAGUGACUGCUGGGGAGGUGCUGCUCAAGGUCCAUGAUGGAGCUGUCUCCACCCCAGGGCAGAGCAUCCUGGGAUGCCUGGGCUGCUGCCCACAGCAGGACCCGCUCUGGCCAGACCUCACCGUGCACCAGCACCUGCAGGUCUACACUGCCGUGAGAGGGAUGAGGAAAGACGAUGCAGCAGUUAUCAUCAGCCGCAUAGGAAAGGUUUUGGAUCUCCAGAAGCAUUUAAGAACCCCAGCUAGGAGGUUAUCUGCUGGAGAAGCCAGAAAGCUGUGUUUUGCAUUGAGCAUCCUGGGAGAUCCAAUGGUAAUGCUUUGGGAUGAGCCAUCAGUGGGCAUGGACCUGAAAGGACAGCGCCUUAUGUGGAAAGUGAUUCAGACUGCCAUGAAAAGCAAGGAGCGUGCAGCCAUCCUCAGCACGCAGUACCUGGAGGAGGCGGCAGCGAUGUGUGACCGGGUGGCCAUCCUGGUGUCAGGGCAGCUACGGUACAUCGGUUCCCUUGAGGAUCUGAAAAAGAAGUCUGGCACAAGUUACCACCUAGAAAUCAAAGUGACAGACCCGGGGCAAAGCGAUGCUCUCCACACCGAAGUUCUGCACCUCUUCCCCUACGCAUCUUGGCAAGGACGACUUCUUCACUCAUCUACAAGAUACCAAUGGAAAAUGCACUACCUCUGUCCCAGUCUUUCUCCAAGCUAGAAGCAGCUAAACAGAAUUUCAGGCUUGAGGAUUACAGCUUGUCGUUGCACUCCUUGCAACAGGUGUUUGUAGACCUCACCAGGGACCUGGAGGAGCAUGACCCUGAUGCAGCAUCUGAUGGGGCUGUGGAGCAGAGACCACUUCACCCCUGAUUCCUUGGAGCCACAAAGGAAAAUAGCCAGUGUAUUUCAUCAGUGUUACUGAUGUGUGUGAUCAGCUGCAGCCCUGGGUCUUGAUUACCGAUGUUGCAACACAUAUUGCUCUGCAGGUUUUCUGUCUCACAAACUAAACAGAUCUUAUUUUAAUAAAUAAAGCCUUUAUCCUUUGUCAAA
Molecule: RNA transcript, 5750 nt
Organism: Strigops habroptila (Kakapo)
Lineage: Eukaryota; Metazoa; Chordata; Aves; Psittaciformes; Psittacidae
Gene name: ATP-binding cassette sub-family A member 9-like
Exons: 39
Source: RefSeq, a predicted model, not a curated record